Molecule: ribosomal RNA, 253 nt
Filed under: uncultured bacterium
Lineage: Bacteria
Description: partial 16S ribosomal RNA
Rfam family: Bacterial small subunit ribosomal RNA
Source: RNAcentral
CACGUAGGGUUCGAGCGUUGUCCGGAAUUACUGGGCGUAAAGGGCUCGUAGGCGGCCAACUAAGUCGGAUGUGAAAUCCCCAAGCUUAACUUGGGAACUGCAUCCGAUACUGGAUGGCUUGAAUCCGGGAGAGGGAUGCAGAAUUCCAGGUGUAGCGGUGAAAUGCGUAGAUAUCUGGAGGAAUACCGGUGGCGAAGGCGGCAUCCUGGACCGGCAUUGACGCUGAGGAGCGAAAGCUAGGGGAGCAAACGGG